Molecule: ribosomal RNA, 37 nt
Filed under: uncultured Tylospora
Lineage: Eukaryota; Fungi; Basidiomycota; Agaricomycetes; Atheliales; Atheliaceae
Description: partial 18S ribosomal RNA
Source: RNAcentral
GAUGUAUCCUUCGUAGGUGACCUGCGGAGGAUCAUUA